GAUGAACGCUGGCGGCGUGCCUAACACAUGCAAGUCGAACGGAGUUACUUUAGUGAAGUUUUCGGAUGGAUCUGAUUUAACUUAGUGGCGGACGGGUGAGUAAUGCGUGAGCAACCUGCCCUUCAGAGGGGGACAACAGUUGGAAACGACUGCUAAUACCGCAUAAUGUAUCCGGGAGGCAUCUCCUGGAUACCAAAGGAGAAAUCCGCUGAUGGAUGGGCUCACGUCUGAUUAGCUAGUUGGUGAGGUAACGGCUCACCAAGGCUGCGAUCAGUAGCCGGACUGAGAGGUGGAACGCCCACAUUGGGACUGAGAUACGGCCCAGACUCCUACGGGAGGCAGCAGUGGGGAAUAUUGGGCAAUGGGCGAAAGCCUGACCCAGCAACGCCGCGUGAAGGAAGAAGGCCUUCGGGUUGUAAACUUCUUUUAAGAGGGACGAAGAAGUGACGGUACCUCUUGAAUAAGCCACGGCUAACUACGUG
RNAcentral lists this ribosomal RNA (482 nucleotides) under uncultured bacterium. Its description in RNAcentral is "partial 16S ribosomal RNA". It matches the Rfam family "Bacterial small subunit ribosomal RNA", at positions 28 to 507 of the family's 1533-position model. The record is from RNAcentral.